This is a long non-coding RNA of Micropterus dolomieu (smallmouth bass), 1218 nucleotides long. RefSeq lists it as uncharacterized. The transcript is spliced from 2 exons. The record is from RefSeq and is a predicted model, not a curated record. NCBI's taxonomy places the organism in Eukaryota, Metazoa, Chordata, Actinopteri, Centrarchiformes, Centrarchidae.
UGAAGUUGUUUGCUACGUGACAUUCCCUCUUAACUUCUUGUGAGUGAUUAUGAUUGACUACAGCUGGUGACUUCUCUGAGCCCGCUUAAAUCGGGCAUGUUUGAUAUACUCUUUAUACUCAGCCACAGACGCAACAAUGGGAAAGUCUAACGAGCUCGGCACGGAUCUGAAAAAGCGGAUCAUUGACUUGAACAAGUCAGGAAAGUCACUUAGAGCCAUUUCAAAGCAGCUACAGGUCCUAAGAUCCACAGCACAAACACCUGUUUAUACGGGACAUGUCCACCUGGUCCCUGCGGAAGAUGUCGAACUCAUCAUCAUCAAAGACGUUGGAUCUGAUGCUCAGAACAUCUGGAAGCUCCUCCUUCACUGGCCUGAAAGGACAGAAGACGAAUCAAACACAGCAGUAUCAUGACAAGAUUCAUUUUUCAUUCACCCUUAACUUAUUGCCCACUCCAUUUACCCCAAAUGAUCUGCACAACACAUUUUGGAUUCGUACAGUAAACAGUGACACUUUUGAUUAUCAGUUUAAUUACUAAGUUAGCAAGAUUCACAGAUUUUAGCUUCUAAAAGGAGAUCAUCUCAAUCUUAUAUUAAUGUAAAAUAUUUUUGAGCUUUGGACUCUUGGUGCAGCACGAUCCAGAAUAUAAAUAGCAGAAUUGUAUGUAGAGGCCUUCCCAGUGAAUGAUGGUGUUUACCUUGGCAUGGCUCGGUCCAGUUUGUCCAGGUUGGGGGCCAAGCGAUCCUCCAGGAUGUUGUUGAUGACCAGCUCAGAGUUGUAGUCGUACUCCUCCAGGCAGGCCAGCACGAAGCCUUCGCCCAAAUCCGGCAGCAGGUCCUUGAUACACGACAGCAGAGACUCAAGCUCGGCCUCGCUCACUGUACACACUGCACCCUGAUGACACACAACACCCAAAAUAAUAAAGUACAGUAACAAAGUCGGAUUGGGUUGUCUCUCCAUCCCCCCCCACCCCAAAUUUGCAGCUACUUUGAAAACCACACUUUUAUCAUUCGGCUAAUUUAUGUAAUUUUCUUUCUGCACUGUAAUGCACCAUUACUUGUAUUCUUACACCUUUAUUUAUUUAUGUAUUUUAUGCUUUGCAAAAUUCAGAUUAAGCACCUUUUCCUUAGCAUUUGAAAAAUGCUACACAAACAAACUUGCCUGACCCUAUGUACCAGUUCUAAAUGUAGUCCCAUUUGUUUUAUUCCUUUAGUCAAAUU